RNAcentral lists this long non-coding RNA (371 nucleotides) under Marmota monax (woodchuck). Lineage: Eukaryota; Metazoa; Chordata; Mammalia; Rodentia; Sciuridae. The record is from RNAcentral.
UGCUCCUUCUGUUUGGAAAGCAGGUGCCUGAGAAGCUGGAAUUCAUAUUUCUCUGACAAAAAGCCAUGACCCUGGGUGCUUAGGUGGAAGACGUCCUCCUGCCCAGCUGGUUGGUGAGGAGUCUCUGUGGCCAGUGUGGCAGGGUCGGCCACUGCUGUGGUGUCUGCCGCAGUCAGGUGCACAGCCUGGGCCUAACUGCUGGCUUCGUGAAGCUCCCUGCUGGCCUCGGAGAACACAGGCACUGGGGCCUCCCUCGGGGAGGGUGGUGGUGCAGGCCUGGGCAGGUGCAGGCUGACCCACCUGCGGGCAGGUGCAGGAGUGCGGAGGGCGCCUGCCUGGAACAGUCUCUCAGCUCUCCAGCUGCCCGGCAC